CCCAGUUCGGAUUGUAGUCUGCAACCCGACUACAUGAAGCUGGAAUCGCUAGUAAUCGCGGAUCAGAAUGCCGCGGUGAAUACGUUCCCGGGUCUUGUACACACCGCCCGUCACACCAUGGGAGUCGGAAAUGCCCGAAGCCGGUGACUCAACCUUUAAGGAGAGAGCCGUCGAAGGCAGGUCUGAUAACUGGGGUGAAGUCGUAACAAGGUAAC
Molecule: ribosomal RNA, 215 nt
Filed under: uncultured bacterium
Lineage: Bacteria
Description: partial 16S ribosomal RNA
Rfam family: Bacterial small subunit ribosomal RNA
Source: RNAcentral